Molecule: long non-coding RNA, 450 nt
Filed under: Cucumis sativus (cucumber)
Lineage: Eukaryota; Viridiplantae; Streptophyta; Magnoliopsida; Cucurbitales; Cucurbitaceae
Description: long non-coding RNA (CSAT_LNC002081)
Source: RNAcentral
CACCAUCAUCUAAGUUCUACCAGCACAGCAUCCAGCCUUGAUUCCAGCAUCAAUCUCUGCAAUAAUGAUUAACAUAAAACUCUCAGAUAAAAUAACAGAAGUUUGGAAUUUAUUGCUCAAUCAAGUAUGAUUUUGACAGGCAUUUGUGGUAGAGAAUCAUUCACUGCUCAAUUUGUAGAAAUGUUAUAGGCCUCAUAAUGAAAACACAUGCCAGAAGGGUAAAACGCUAAAGAAUGCCUUAUUAGUUAAGGGAGAGAUCAGUGAUGGCCUGAAAUGAAAACUUCAAAAGCACCAUUGUCAGUGCCUUCCAAGUAGCCUCGUUCCACAGCACUAAUUCCCAAUGAUUAGCCAAGGCCCAUCACCCAUGUGGCCAUGUGCACAAAACAACCUAUCUAAGCCAAUUACUCUCUCCUCUCAGUAACUAAACAGUUUUUGUGAAUAAUUCUCAUG